Long non-coding RNA from Odontomachus brunneus, 1530 nucleotides. RefSeq lists it as uncharacterized. The record is from RefSeq and is a predicted model, not a curated record. The transcript has 2 exons. Lineage: Eukaryota; Metazoa; Arthropoda; Insecta; Hymenoptera; Formicidae.
CUCAUUCGUCUACGUGCGUCCGGAUGUGUACGGACAUUUUUACGGCUGGGUUUCCGUUCAUGCCGCUGUGAUCUCGGUUGACGAGCCAAUUCGACCACUGUGGUGGUCAAUCGGCGAGUGAACGAGAGAUCUCUAACUCGGAAGUGCAUAAUCUGAGCUGAUGACUUUCUUUCGUCGUCGGACAUCGGUGCGAUUUACGACUUUGAACUACGUGAUGUAACGCCUUGUACGCGUCUGAAUUGUUCACUCACCAUUUCUCGACGUCCCGUAACGUACACCGUCCAGGUCCAUCGACGAAAUCCAUCUCUGCAUCCGUUCAGCAUCCUUGUCCCACAUCCGUGGUGUCUAACUGUCGCUCCGCGACCAUCACUCUUGAUUCGUUGCACCAUACUGUACUGUACUGCACUUCACUCGCGAACGUAGCAAUUUUAAUGGCGCUUACGGAUUCGAUUAAAAGUGCAAACGCGAUAAAUCCUAGUCUGCGAAGAAUCGUUCACCCGCGUGUCACGAAUCGUGUAAACAAUUGCAAGUAGACCUCGGCGUCUUCGACAAAGGAUCGAGAAAGGAAACAAAAACAUCCCGCUUCUUGGACGAAUGUACUUUGUCGAAGGCGAAGUUUUCGUUUCGGAAGCGUUCCAAUUUUUAAACGAGACGACAAAUAUUUAUGCCAGAUUUUGUGAUAAUUUCGAUCGAAAUGAUACUGUGCGACUCGUAACGUGUAGAGAACUUAAGGAAUCGAUGAUUGAGACGAUAGCAAAUUCAAUCGCGAAAUAAGUGCUCGCGAAUUUCAUGUACGUUGGUGCAAUCCUCUCGGUCACGUUCUGGAACAAAAAAUAUAUAGUUUUACCGAUAAAAAAAUAUAAAGAAUAAUGAUUUAAUGAGGAAAAUAUGCGUAGAUAUGUAUGUGUUAAUUUUCUGCGAUUAUUGUAACUUAAUGACUUUUACCACGCUAAUUGUCUAAUUUGUCGAUCGCAAAGAGUUAUUAUAAAAUGCAAGAGCAUAAAAGAAUAAGGGGGGAGGUCUAUGAACCUACCUUCGAACCAACACUAUUCCGAACCGGAUCCUCCGGUACGGCAUCCGCGUCCACUGCACCCCCGGGAGCCGCAAGCUCUAGCAGAUCUGAAACAAAAAGUAAGUUUCCUAAUUAAUCACAUCGAUAGGUGUCAACGUAUUCCGAAUAUGAGGAGACUCAAAACUGCACAUUUUUAAAUUAAUUCAAGUGUACACUAAAAAAAGAAAAAUAUUUAGUAAUAGCAGCUGUAUAAUUGAUAGCUAGUACUAGAUCGAAUUUUAUUAUACAAAAUUAAUGGCAUAUUUAAAAUCGUGUCUUAUAUUUAAGACUGUCUUAAACUUAUCUUAAGAUAUUCUGUAGCCAGUAAAAUGCUCCGUAUAUCAUCUGAAGAUGAACUUAGGACGGUCUUAAAUAUGAGAUCCGAUUAUGAAUACCGACUAAUGUGUUUAAGAAAUUAUUGUAAUUACUGUAACUAAUGUCUUAAUUUUGCAAUAUAAUUAAAAAAUAAUUUACUGAAA